UAUAGCAAGAUUACCAUUUUAACCACUUAAAAAUGUUUUUGACUAGAAAGAAGGGAGGAAAAUUUUAACCGUUUGUAAUUGUAUGGUUCAGUGGCAUCGCCUCCGUUCACACUGCUGUGCAUCCGUCACCACCGUCCAUCUCCAGAACUUUUUAAUCCUCCCAAACUGAAUUUCCACACCCUUGAGGCUCACCGUUCCUCCCUCCUACUAUCCCCUGGCAACCACCGUUCUCCUUUCCAUUUCUGUGAACCCGACUGCUUCUAGGUACCUCCUGAGAAAUUUGGACACAGAGACAGACACGCACAGAAGGAAGAUGAUGUAAAGACACAGAGUACCACGUGAGGCUGGAGGACUGGAGUGAUGUAUUUACAACCCAAGGAACGUCUAAGGUUAUCAGCAUACUGUCAGAAGCAAGGAAGAGGCAAGGAAGGAUCCCCUACAAGUUUGAAAAGUGUCAUGGCCCUGCUGACACAUUUAUUUUGGACUUUUAGCCAGAACUGUGAGAAAAUAAAUUGCUGUAUUUUCAAGUCA
Molecule: long non-coding RNA, 531 nt
Filed under: Homo sapiens (human)
Lineage: Eukaryota; Metazoa; Chordata; Mammalia; Primates; Hominidae
Description: HSALNT0317589
Source: RNAcentral